GACGAACGCUGGCGGCGUGCUUAACACAUGCAAGUCGAACGGAAAGGCCCUGCUUUUGUGGGGUGCUCGAGUGGCGAGCGGGUGAGUAACACGUGAGUAACCUGCCCUUGACUUUGGGAUAACUUCAGGAAACUGGGGCUAAUACCGGAUAGGAGCUCCUGCUGCAUGGUGGGGGUUGGAAAGUUUCGGCGGUUGGGGAUGGACUCGCGGCUUAUCAGCUUGUUGGUGGGGUAGUGGCUUACCAAGGCUUUGACGGGUAGCCGGCCUGAGAGGGUGACCGGCCACAUUGGGACUGAGAUACGGCCCAGACUCCUACGGGAGGCAGCAGUGGGGAAUAUUGCACAAUGGGCGGAAGCCUGAUGCAGCAACGCCGCGUGCGGGAUGACGGCCUUCGGGUUGUAAACCGCUUUCGCCUGUGACGAAGCGUGAGUGACGGUAAUGGGUAAAGAAGCACCGGCUAACUACGUGCCAGCAGCCGCGGUGAUACGUAGGGUGCGAGCGUUGUCCGGAUUUAUUGGGCGUAAAGGGCUCGUAGGUGGUUGAUCGCGUCGGAAGUGUAAUCUUGGGGCUUAACCCUGAGCGUGCUUUCGAUACGGGUUGACUUGAGGAAGGUAGGGGAGAAUGGAAUUCCUGGUGGAGCGGUGGAAUGCGCAGAUAUCAGGAGGAACACCAGUGGCGAAGGCGGUUCUCUGGGCCUUUCCUGACGCUGAGGAGCGAAAGCGUGGGGAGCGAACAGGCUUAGAUACCCUGGUAGUCCACGCUGUAAACGGUGGGUACUAGGUGUGGGGUCCAUUCCACGGGUUCCGUGCCGUAGCUAACGCUUUAAGUACCCCGCCUGGGGAGUACGGCCGCAAGGCUAAAACUCAAAGGAAUUGACGGGGCCCCGCACAAGCGGCGGAGCAUGCGGAUUAAUUCGAUGCAACGCGUAGAACCUUACCUGGGUUUGACAUGGAUCGGGAGUGCUCAGAGAUGGGUGUGCCUCUUUUGGGGUCGGUUCACAGGUGGUGCAUGGCUGUCGUCAGCUCGUGUCGUGAGAUGUUGGGUUAAGUCCCGCAACGAGCGCAACCCUUGUUCACUGUUGCCAGCACGUUAUGGUGGGGACUCAGUGGAGACCGCCGGGGUCAACUCGGAGGAAGGUGGGGAUGACGUCAAGUCAUCAUGCCCCUUAUGUCCAGGGCUUCACGCAUGCUACAAUGGCUGGUACAGAGAGUGGCGAGCCUGUGAGGGUGAGCGAAUCUCGGAAAGCCGGUCUCAGUUCGGAUUGGGGUCUGCAACUCGACCUCAUGAAGUCGGAGUCGCUAGUAAUCGCAGAUCAGCAACGCUGCGGUGAAUACGUUCCCGGG
Molecule: ribosomal RNA, 1343 nt
Filed under: uncultured bacterium
Lineage: Bacteria
Description: 16S ribosomal RNA
Rfam family: Bacterial small subunit ribosomal RNA
Source: RNAcentral